This 206-nucleotide unclassified non-coding RNA is filed under the name Hevea brasiliensis (rubber tree). The record is from RNAcentral. Lineage: Eukaryota; Viridiplantae; Streptophyta; Magnoliopsida; Malpighiales; Euphorbiaceae.
GUCGGCAAUUUGUUUGUACGACGUGGCGACAUUACAACCGUUGAUGAGUUUGAGAUUUUUGAUUAGUUGUUAACACGGGAACUCUGGCGCGUGGACGAACAACCAAAUUUAAUCGAAACCGUUGAUUGGGGAGCAUGGGGAUAUUAAUCGAAACCGUUGAUUCGACGUGUGAUGUAUAUGGUCAUGACUAGCGCGUGGUUGUUUUG